RNAcentral lists this long non-coding RNA (271 nucleotides) under Apteryx owenii (little spotted kiwi). RNAcentral's name for it is "lncRNA (ENSAOWG00000004458.1)". The record is from RNAcentral. Lineage: Eukaryota; Metazoa; Chordata; Aves; Apterygiformes; Apterygidae.
GAGCUGAGCUGCCCCAUGAGUGUGAAAGGCACCUCAAGCCGUUGCAUUUCCUCCAGUGCAGUUCAGCAUGGACUUGCCUUGGCCCCAGCCUGCGCAUGUGGGAAUUGCUAUACGAAACUCCAUCUCCUCCCCGCCAAGGCACGUUGAAUCUUUGGCAGCUCAUGAGCGGCCGGCAGACCACAAGUUCAGAAACACCCGUCUCGUCCUCUCCUCCUAACAGCAGCUGGAUCCAAGACUGAAGAGUUUUAGGUGGAGACGAGAAUCAGUCAGG